This is a long non-coding RNA of Actinia tenebrosa (Australian red waratah sea anemone), 497 nucleotides long. NCBI's taxonomy places the organism in Eukaryota, Metazoa, Cnidaria, Anthozoa, Actiniaria, Actiniidae. The record is from RefSeq and is a predicted model, not a curated record.
GAGAUGAAUAGAUCUUUGUUGGACGAAAAAUAGAUCCUCAACUUGUAAAGUGAUGUUUGUAUAUUGAGGUGUUUAAUCAGGUCCCAUUAUCUAUUGAUUAGAAAUAACACAAACAAAUCCUGAACAUUAUCAUAGUGCGAGAAUUCAAGUUUAGAUUUGUGAUUGGAUGAAGGCCAAGUGGAAAGUAUGCAGAUAUAUUGCACUGCAAGUCGAUGGGAAUCCCAAUAGGUUCGAGAUAUAAUGCCCGGCAGGUCAAGAUAUCCAGAGUUCAAGAUACAUAACAGGACUGGACUCCACUUAAAUGAAAAUAAUAGUGUAAUAAUAUAAACUCAAUUGGUCUUCAAGUUUUCGCACAAAGUUUUUAAGAGUUAUCAACAUCUUCAAAUGUUCGUGAAUUCGCGCUGCAAAUCGCCGAAAAAAUCGUUUGUGUAAACGGUCCUUGAGAGAGAGGAGAGGGGAAAGAUUCGGUGACUUUAAAAUAAACAUUUUCCAGAUCA